GUCCAGCUGACGAGCCCCAAAUGGGACGAAACUCGAGUUCUGUAU
RNAcentral lists this non-coding RNA (45 nucleotides) under Schistosoma curassoni. The record is from RNAcentral. Lineage: Eukaryota; Metazoa; Platyhelminthes; Trematoda; Strigeidida; Schistosomatidae.